AGCCCUUAGUUCUCUCUGGUUGGCUCGGCCACGUGAAUGAUGGAAUGAGAGCAAUAGAUUGCCCCUCCGGAAUGUUAUUUUGGAGAUCAACUCCAUGACGCCACCUGAUAAGUUUUCUUGACAAGUGACUAUGAUCCAUGUGCAUGGGACUUGUAAGUCGUCUGCUUAACAAUUGUAUUGCAUUAAGGUCAUGGUUGGUGUAGUUAUAGGUUCCACAUUGCAGCUGUAACAUCAGGUAUGCCUUGUAGAUUUAUGGUUAUUUCGUGUUGUAAAACAUUUAGUGCCAAUAAUUCGAUCAAGUUUUUUGUUUGUUAGAAGUGAUAACGGAAGAUGGGAGUGGUACAUGUAACAUAGUUUACAGCUAUCGAUUUGUAUACUAAAAAUCGGAAUCAAGUUGUAUUUACAUUUGGGUGAUCUUUCUU
Molecule: unclassified non-coding RNA, 422 nt
Filed under: Hevea brasiliensis (rubber tree)
Lineage: Eukaryota; Viridiplantae; Streptophyta; Magnoliopsida; Malpighiales; Euphorbiaceae
Source: RNAcentral